CAACCUGCCGUCUACUCUUGGACAGCCUUCUGAAAGGAAGAUUAAUACAAGAUGGCAUCAUGAGUCCGCAUGUUCACAUGAUUAAAGGUAUUCCGGUAGACGAUGGGGAUGCGUUCCAUUAGAUAGUAGGCGGGGUAACGGCCCACCUAGUCUUCGAUGGAUAGGGGUUCUGAGAGGAAGGUCCCCCACAUUGGAACUGAGACACGGUCCAAACUCCUACGGGAGGCAGCAG
This 232-nucleotide ribosomal RNA is filed under the name uncultured bacterium. RNAcentral describes it as "partial 16S ribosomal RNA". It matches the Rfam family "Bacterial small subunit ribosomal RNA", at positions 122 to 354 of the family's 1533-position model. The record is from RNAcentral.